Molecule: small RNA, 125 nt
Filed under: Marmota monax (woodchuck)
Lineage: Eukaryota; Metazoa; Chordata; Mammalia; Rodentia; Sciuridae
Source: RNAcentral
GCCGGGUUCAGUGGCGCAUGCCUGUAAUCCCAGAGGCUCAGGAGGCUGAGACAGGAGGAUCAUGAGUUCAAAGCCAGCCUCAGCAAAAGCAAGGCACUGAGCAACUUAGUGAGACCCUGUCUCUA